UAGCAUGAAGUCAGACAAGAGA
RNAcentral lists this ribosomal RNA (22 nucleotides) under Symbiodinium sp. B1. Its description in RNAcentral is "partial 28S ribosomal RNA". The record is from RNAcentral. RNAcentral also lists the same sequence under 1 other name. Lineage: Eukaryota; Dinophyceae; Suessiales; Symbiodiniaceae.